AAGCGUUUAUGACCAGACUUGGCCCGGUUGAUCAUCCAGCGUUCUCGCUGGUGCACUCUGCCGGUCCAGGCCAGCAUCAGUUCGUCGCGGGGGAUAAAGGUUUCGGGAAUGUGGCUCCUCCGGGAGUGUUAUAGCCCGUUGCGUAAUACCCUG
Molecule: ribosomal RNA, 153 nt
Filed under: Stachybotryaceae sp.
Lineage: Eukaryota; Fungi; Ascomycota; Sordariomycetes; Hypocreales; Stachybotryaceae
Description: Stachybotriaceae sp. partial large subunit ribosomal RNA
Source: RNAcentral